This 920-nucleotide ribosomal RNA is filed under the name uncultured bacterium. RNAcentral describes it as "bacterial SSU rRNA". It matches the Rfam family "Bacterial small subunit ribosomal RNA", at positions 33 to 942 of the family's 1533-position model. The record is from RNAcentral.
ACGCUGGCGGCAUGCUUUACACAUGCAAGUCGGACGGCAGCACAGAGAAGCUUGCUUCUUGGGUGGCGAGUGGCGAACGGGUGAGUAACAUAUCGGAACGUACCGAGUAAUGGGGGAUAACUAAUCGAAAGAUUAGCUAAUACCGCAUAUUCUCUGAGGAGGAAAGCAGGGGACCUUCGGGCCUUGCGUUAUUCGAGCGGCCGAUAUCUGAUUAGCUAGUUGGUGGGGUAAAGGCCUACCAAGGCGACGAUCAGUAGCGGGUCUGAGAGGAUGAUCCGCCACACUGGGACUGAGACACGGCCCAGACUCCUACGGGAGGCAGCAGUGGGGAAUUUUGGACAAUGGGCGCAAGCCUGAUCCAGCCAUGCCGCGUGUCUGAAGAAGGCCUUCGGGUUGUAAAGGACUUUUGUCAGGGAAGAAAAGGCUGUUGCUAAUACCGACAGCUGAUGACGGUACCUGAAGAAUAAGCACCGGCUAACUACGUGCCAGCAGCCGCGGUAAUACGUAUGGUGCGAGCGUUAAUCGGAAUUACUGGGCGUAAAGCGAGCGCAGACGGUUACUUAAGCAGGAUGUGAAAUCCCCGGGCUCAACCUGGGAACUGCGUUCUGAACUGGGUGACUAGAGUGUGUCAGAGGGAGGUAGAAUUCCACGUGUAGCAGUGAAAUGCGUAGAGAUGUGGAGGAAUACCGAUGGCGAAGGCAGCCUCCUGGGAUAACACUGACGUUCAUGCUCGAAAGCGUGGGUAGCAAACAGGAUUAGAUACCCUGGUAGUCCACGCCCUAAACGAUGUCAAUUAGCUGUUGGGCAACUUGAUUGCUUAGUAGCGUAGCUAACGCGUGAAAUUGACCGCCUGGGGAGUACGGUCGCAAGAUUAAAACUCAAAGGAAUUGACGGGGACCCGCACAAGCGGUGGAUGAUGU